Molecule: long non-coding RNA, 1153 nt
Filed under: Rattus norvegicus (Norway rat)
Lineage: Eukaryota; Metazoa; Chordata; Mammalia; Rodentia; Muridae
Description: long non-coding RNA NONRATT011781
Source: RNAcentral
CGGCCGCGCGCCGCCCAGGGCGCUGGGUCUUGCCUCGGCCGCGGCCUCGCCAGGCCUCCAGGCGUCGGCGCGUGCGGCGUCGGCGUCGGCGGCGCGCACUCGCAGGUGGGCUUGGUGCGCAUGCUCGCGGGGGCGGGGCUAGCGGGGGCGCGCGCCGGUCGCGGGCCGGAGGCACGGGCUCCUGAGAGCUCUAAGAUGCGUCCGCGUCCCGGAAGGUCGGUCCCCCUGUGCACGCGCGGCGGCCUAUUAGGUAGAAGCUGACUGCAGGGAGGCCUCGAGGGCUGGCCAGCAGCCCAGGCCGCGUGAGUCUCCAGGCCCCUCCUUUCCUCUCUGGGCCGGAAUGGUGUGCCGGCCCGCUAUGCGGCCGGCCGGAGAGUGGCGCGGAGCUGAAGCCGCCGAGGCGUUGGAGGAGUCCAGACUCAUCCGGAAUCGGGCUGUUGAGGGACGGGAAAUCUAGAAGCUUCAGGACUGGAGGGAGUCCCUGAUCCCACUGGCCUUGACUUUGGACAAGGUUUUAAUUUGUUCUAGUCAACUAUUCAGCGAUUUUGAGCAAAAAAGAUUCUCUGGCCUUCAGCAUGAUAUUGGCUUGAUGUGGAAAGAUUAAGAUUCUAGGCUAAAGGGAAGAAGCCAUUAGAGAAGAAUACCCCGAGGUCCAUGAGGACAAUUUGUGAUCAAUGGUUACUCUUAUGCCUUGACUUGCUAUAUUAUGAAUCGAGGACCUCAAGUUCACAUAUUUUGGGGUGCUCCAGUUGCUGCACUGAAAAUGACAGUAUCCCAGGAAACAGCCUCCUUAAUGUCCACUGCCAACACCUGGGAAAAUGUCCAACUCUUUUUCAAACAGCGUUCUUUGUGUCUGAAGGCUGGAGAUCAGGAGUUUAAAAGUCUGGAAGACUGUCAAGUCCCCGAAGGUUUUGGCCCACCCGGUCUUCUUAGUGGUCACCUUUUAACGACUUAUGUGAAUAGGUCUGCUCAGGCGGAAGAAGACUUUAAACAUUCUGAGUCUGAAACACAGAAUGUAAAGUCCCAGAAGAUUAGCCUAAGUGAUAUGACUAGUGUAUGUCGACUUACGGACAGAGUUCAGCAUUUACCUGAAGAAGAAAAAUACCAAAAGCUUCCAUAUGAAAAUAAGAAAAUUAUAGAUGAGCAGUCUAAA